This 450-nucleotide ribosomal RNA is filed under the name uncultured soil bacterium. Its description in RNAcentral is "bacterial SSU rRNA". It matches the Rfam family "Bacterial small subunit ribosomal RNA", at positions 26 to 518 of the family's 1533-position model. The record is from RNAcentral.
AGAACGAACGCUGGCGGCAGGCUUAACACAUGCAAGUCGAACGGUUGUAGCAAUACAGCAGUGGCAGACGGGUGAGUAACACGUGGGAACCUUCCUAGGGGUACGGAACAACUCAGGGAAACUUGAGCUAAUACCGUAUACGUCCGUAAGGAGAAAGAUUCAUCGCCCCUAGACGGGCCCGCGUAGGAUUAGGUAGUUGGUGAGGUAACGGCUCACCAAGCCUACGAUCCUUAGCUGAUCUGAGAGGAUGAUCAGCCACACUGGGACUGAGACACGGCCCAGACUCCUACGGGAGGCAGCAGUGGGGAAUCUUGGACAAUGGGCGCAAGCCUGAUCCAGCCAUGCCGCGUGAGUGAAGAAGGCCUUCGGGUUGUAAAGCUCUUUUACCAGGGACGAUAAGUGAACGGUACCUGGAGAAUAAGCCCCGGCAAACUUCGUGCCAGCAGCCGC